GACGAACGCUGGCGGCGUGCCUAACACAUGCAAGUCGAGCGGAGUUGACAAGAGGAAGUUUUCGGAUGGAAUCUUGUUGAUUUAGCGGCGGACGGGUGAGUAACGCGUGAGCGACCAACCUUGCACAGGGGGAUAACGGACCGAAAGGUUCACUAAUACCGCAUGAGACCACGGUGUUGCAUGACACAGGGGUCAAAGGAGGAAUCCGGUGCAAGACGGGCUCGCGUCCGAUUAGGUAGUUGGAGGGGUAACGGCCCACCAAGCCUAUGAUCGGUAGCCGACCUGAGAGGGUGAUCGGCCACAUUGGAACUGAGAUACGGUCCAAACUCCUACGGGAGGCAGCAGUGGGGAAUAUUGGGCAAUGGGGGAAACCCUGACCCAGCAACGCCGCGUGAAGGAAGAAGGUUUUCGGAUUGUAAACUUCUGUCCUUGGUGAAGAGAAGAAGACGGUAGCCAAGGAGGAAGCCCCGGCUAACUACGUG
Molecule: ribosomal RNA, 482 nt
Filed under: uncultured bacterium
Lineage: Bacteria
Description: bacterial SSU rRNA
Rfam family: Bacterial small subunit ribosomal RNA
Source: RNAcentral